UACGGCGGAACACGAGAAAUUCCGUCGGAAUCCGCGGGGACCAUCCCGCAAGGCUAAAUACUCCCUAGUGACCGAUAGUGAACCAGUACCGUGAGGGAAAGGUGAAAAGCACCCCGGAAGGGGAGUGAAAUAGAUCCUGAAACCGUGUGCCUACAACAAGUCAAAGCUCGUUAAUGAGUGAUGGCGUGCCUUUUGUAGAAUGAACCGGCGAGUUACGAUUGCAUGCGAGGUUAAGUCGAAGAGACGGAGCCGCAGCGAAAGCGAGUCUGAAUAGGGCGAAUGAGUAUGUAGUCGUAGACCCGAAACCAUGUGAUCUACCCAUGUCCAGGUUGAAGGUGCGGUAAAACGCACUGGAGGACCGAACCCACGUACGUUGAAAAGUGCGGGGAUGAGGUGUGGGUAGCGGAGAAAUUCCAAACGAACUUGGAGAUAGCUGGUUCUCUCCGAAAUAGCUUUAGGGCUAGCCUCGGAAUUGAGAAUGAUGGAGGUAGAGCACUGUUUGGACUAGGGGCCCAUCUCGGGUUACCGAAUUCAGAUAAACUCCGAAUGCCAUUCAUUUAUAUCCGGGAGUCAGACUGCGAGUGAUAAGAUCCGUAGUCGAAAGGGAAACAGCCCAGACCACCAGCUAAGGUCCCAAAAUAUAUGUUAAGUGGAAAAGGAUGUGGGGUUGCACAGACAACUAGGAUGUUGGCUUAGAAGCAGCCACCAUUUAAAGAGUGCGUAAUAGCUCACUAGUCGAGUGACCCUGCGCCGAAAAUGUACCGGGGCUAAACAUAUUACCGAAGCUGUGGACUACACCAUUAGGUGUAGUGGUAGGAGAGCGUUCUAAGGGCGUUGA
Molecule: ribosomal RNA, 838 nt
Filed under: Enterococcus faecalis
Lineage: Bacteria; Bacillati; Bacillota; Bacilli; Lactobacillales; Enterococcaceae
Description: partial 23S ribosomal RNA
Rfam family: Bacterial large subunit ribosomal RNA
Source: RNAcentral